CCUACGGGAGGCAGCAGUGGGGGAUAUUGCACAAUGGGGGGAACCCUGAUGCAGCGACGCCGCGUGGGUGAAGAAGCGCCUCGGCGCGUAAAGCCCUGUCAGCAGGGAAGAAAAUGACGGUACCUGAAGAAGAAGCCCCGGCUAACUACGUGCCAGCAGCCGCGGUAAUACGUAGGGGGCACGCGUUAUCCGGAUUUACUGGGUGUAAAGGGGGCGCAGACGGCGAUGCAAGCCAGGAGUGAAAGCCCGGGGCCCAACCCCGGGACUGCGCUUGGAACUGCGUGGCUGGAGUGCAGGAGGGGCAGGCGGAAUUCCUGGUGUAGCGGUGAAAUGCGUAGAUAUCAGGAGGAACACCGGUGGCGAAGGCGGCCUGCUGGACUGCAACUGACGUUGAGGCCCGAAAGCGUGGGGAGCGAACAGGAUUAGAUACCCCUGUAGUC
Molecule: ribosomal RNA, 440 nt
Filed under: uncultured bacterium
Lineage: Bacteria
Description: partial 16S ribosomal RNA
Rfam family: Bacterial small subunit ribosomal RNA
Source: RNAcentral